AAUUCUGAGACAUAAAUUUGUACUUGACUUCAUUAUUAUUGAAUAAUAAAUGGGCAUCUUUUCAUUCAUAUUGUUUAUGUAUCUAUGAAUCGUCCAAGGAAUUAAUAAGAUGAUACAUGUUCUCAAGAGUGAGAAUUUGAGCCAUGUAUUAUUGGUGAUUUAUUUCUAAAUGCUCAUGAUUAAUGGAUCAUCACGAGGACGGUGAUCGAUCCGAUCAGUGCAUAGAUUGCUUUUCUUAUGGAUGGACGAGACUCGAGUCCACAGUGUAGAGACACUGAAGUGAUAGUGCAGGUGCUUGUUAGAGAACAAGGGUACUGAGCGUGACCAAGACAAUAAGUCACUUGGAUGUCUAUCCACUCGUCAAUGACUUGCUUGAUGUUGCAGUGGUGUGACUGGUCCUUUGACCUGCGGUGCUUCGGCUAUUCACAGCGAGGUUAUUGUAGUUUGACUGCACAUAUACAUGGUCUCUAGUCAUAUGAGUCUUUGUAGUGUAGAUUGGCUGCAGUAGGUUCACUGUAGGAGUAAGGCAUGCACUUACAUGGAAUCUAUCGACCUUGAUAGAAGAGGAGUGAACCUAUGUAAUUUAUUAGACCGAGUUCUAAGACUUUAGCCAGGGCAGUAAUAUACAGUGGAGAAAGAGUUUUCCACUAUCGGACUCAAGUCGAAUAAAUCUAGACAUAUGACAGACGAAGUGAAUGUUGCAUGUUGAUGUGUGUGUAUAUGUGUCUGAGCAAGUAGCGAAUGCCAUAGGAUCUAAAAGAUCCAGAGAUGAGAUAAACCAGAAGUAUUUGUGGCACCUCAGGCUUGGCCAUAUUGGAGAGGACAGAAUGAACAAAAUGGAGAAAGAUGGGCUUCUCGGCCCAUUGACUUCCGAGUCAUAUCCAGUUUGUGAGUCUUGUCUUCAAGGUAGGACAUGGGAGAGGACCAUUUAAAUACUUACCCUGGUACACACUGAUGUGUGUGGCCCAUUUAAUGUGUCAGCCAAGGGUCGUUAUUCGUACUUCAUUACCUUUACUGAUGACUAUUCAUAAUAUGGGUAUGUGUAUCUUAUGAGAUACAAAUAUGAGUCUUUUGACAAGUUCAAAGAAUUCAGAAAUGAAGUAGAAAAACAGACUGGAAAAACCCUUAAAGUUCUUUGAUCAGAUCGAGGAGAAGAAUACCUUAGUGAAAAAUUCCGGAACUAUCUCAAGGAGAAUGGUAUAGUCUCACAAUGGAUGCCUCCGGGUACACCUCAACUCAACGGGGUGUCAGAAAGGAGGAAUCGGACUCUAUUGGAUAUGGUUCGAUCCAUGAUGAGCUUCACAGAUCUGCCUAUGUUUCUUUGGGAAGAUGCCUUAUUAUCCGCAAUUUAUUUACUGAAUAGAGUUUCCUCUAAAUCCGUUCCUACCACACCGUAUAAGAUAUGGCAUGGUAAGAAGCCGAGUCUUGGUCAUCUUAAGAUUUGGGGAUGUCCUGCCCAUGUCAAGCGACAACAGGCGGACAAGUUAGAGUUUAGGACCAUAAGUGCUCGUUUCAUAGGAUAUCCUAAAGAGUCAUUAGGAUACAAUUUUUACGUCUCAGAGGAUCACAAUGUAUUUGUGAGCCGAAAUGCCAUUUUCUUGGAAAAACAGUUUAUCCUUGAUAGAGGCAGUGGGAGGAAAAUUGAGCUCGAAUAGAGAGUCUCUGAAAAGCAACGAGUAAUGGAUCCUAUAGAACCUAUUCACAUAGAGCCAGUACACGUAGUAUCUCCUCCACCUCAUAGAUCUAGUAGGGUCUCCCAUCCUCCUGAUAGAUACUUAGGUAUGCUUAUAGAGAAUACCGAGGAAAUAUUCCUCAUGGGAGAUUCCCAAUACCUACAACGAGGCGAUAUCUGAUAUCGAUUCCGAGAAAUGGCUGGAAGCCAUGAAGUCAGAGAUAGACUCCAUGUAUUCCAACCAAGUUUGGACCUUAGUAAAUCCACCAGAAGGUAUAGUACCUAUUGGANNNNNNNNNNNNNNNNNNNNNNNNNNNNNNNNNNNNNNNNNNNNCACCUGUAGUCAUGCUGAAAUCCAUUCGAACAUUGCUUGCCAUUGCAGCAUUUCAUGAUUAUGAAAUAUGGCAGAUGGAUGUGAAAACUGCUUUCCUGAAUGGAUAUCUUGAUGAAGGUAUUUACAUGGAGCAGCUUUUGGGUUUCACCUCCAGUGAUGGAGAUCACAAGGUCUGCAAGCUGCAAAGGUCCAUCUAUGGACUAAAGCAAGCAUCUCGGAGUUGGAACACUUAUUUCAAUGAUGCGAUCAAAUCGUUUGAUUUCAUCAAAAACGAAGAAGAACCGUGUGUUUACAAGAAAGUUAGUGGGAGGGCUGUCGUGUUCCUCGUACUGUACGUAGACGACAUUCUCCUGAUAGGGAAUGAUAUUCCCAUGCUAACCUCGAUCAAGGUCUGGUUGUCAAAAGAGUUCUCCAUUAAAGACCUUGGGAAAGCAUCCUAUAUUUUGGGGAUUAAGGUCUAUAGAGAUAGAUCUAAAAGGAUACUUGGCCUAUCACAGAAGAUGUACAUAGAGGAGGUACUGAAGAGGUUCAGUAUGGAAAACUCCAAGAGAGGUCUAUUACCCCUUAGGCAUGGGAUUCAUCUCUCCAAGAAGAUGUGCCCCAACACAUCUAAAGAGAUUCAACGCAUGAGCAGGAUUCCUUAUGCUUCGACAAUAAGAAGCCUUAUGUAUGCCAUGCUGUGUACACGACCUGAUAUAGCCCUUGCUGUGAGUGUCACUAGCAGAUAUCAGUCGAAUCCAGGCGAAGAGCACUGGACUGCUGUGAAGAACAUUCUUAAGUACUUAAGAAGAACUAAAGAUUUGUUCUUAGUUUUUGGAGGAUUAUCAGAGUUAAAGACAGAAGGAUACACAGAUUCAGAUUUAAUGACUGAUAUUGAAGAUAGAAAAUCUACUUCUGGAUAUGUGUUCUUGUGCAAUGGUGGUAUGGUAAAUUGGAAAAGUUUCAAACAACCGAUCAUUGCUGAUUCUACCAUGGAAGCUGAGUAUAUCGCCGCCUCUGAAGCUGCAAAAGAAGCCUUCUGGUUCAAGAAAUUCAUUGCAGAGCUAGAUGUAAUGCCAUCAGAUGCCAUCAUACUCUCCUGCGAUAAUAAUGGCGCCAUAGCUCUUGCUAAGGAGCCAAGGUCUCAUCAGAAGUCCAAGCACAUAGAGCGGCGCUUUCACCUCAUACAAGACUACCUCGAAAAGAAAUAUGUCGAGGUGCAGAGAGUAGACUCCGCGGACAACGUGGCGGACCUGCUCACUAAGCAGUUAAAUCAGCAGAAGACUGAAGCCCACCUUGAGAAGAUGGGACUUAGAUAUAUGUCUGAUUGGCUUUAGUGCAAGUGGAAGAUUGUUAAAUGUAUGCCAUAGAAGCCAAUCUGGCGGACACAUUAUUAAUUCUGGGACAUAAAUUUGUACUUGACUUCAUUAUUAUUGAAUAAUAAAUGGGCAUCUUUUCUUUUAUAUUGUUUAUGUGUCUAUGAAUCAUCCAAGGAAUUAAUAAGAUGAUACAUAUUCUCAAGAGUUGAGAAUUUGAGCCUUGUAUUAUUGAUGAUUAAUUUUUAAAUGCUCUGAUCAAUGAAUCAUCACGAGGACGGUGAUCGAUCCGAUCAGUGCACAGAUGGCUUUCCUCAUGGAUGGAUGAGACUCGAGUCCACAGUGUAGGGACACUGAAGUGAUAGUGCAAGUGCUUGUUAAAAAACAAGGGUACUGAGCGUGACCAAGACAAGAAGUCACUUAGAUGUCUAUCCACUCGUCAGUGACUUGCUUGAUGUUGCAGUGGUCUGACUGGUCCUUUGACCUACGGUGCUUCCGCUAUUCACAGUGAGGUUAUUGUAGUUUGACUGCACAUAUACAUAGUCUCUAGUCAUAUGAGUCCUUGUAGUGUAGAUUGGUUGCAGUAGGUUCACUAUAGAAGUAGGGUAUGCACUUACAUGAAAUCUAUCGACCUUGAUAGAAGAGGAGUGAACCUAUGUGAUUUAUUAGACUGAGUUCUAAGACUUUGGCCAGGGCAGUAAUAUAUGGUGGAGAAAGAGUUUUUCACUAUCGGACUUAAGUCGAAUAAAUCUAGACAUAUGACAGACGGCGGGGUUUGACGAGUUAUCCAUGACCUCCGGUCUGUAGGGAUCCACGAUAG
RNAcentral lists this long non-coding RNA (4121 nucleotides) under Phoenix dactylifera (date palm). RNAcentral's name for it is "long non-coding RNA (PDAC_LNC002777)". Lineage: Eukaryota; Viridiplantae; Streptophyta; Magnoliopsida; Arecales; Arecaceae. The record is from RNAcentral.